This 112-nucleotide ribosomal RNA is filed under the name Caerostris darwini. The record is from RNAcentral. Lineage: Eukaryota; Metazoa; Arthropoda; Arachnida; Araneae; Araneidae.
AACGGCCGUACCAUGCUGAAUAUACCGGUUCUCAUUAGAUCACCGAAGUUAAGCAUCAUUGGGCGCAGUCAGUACUUGGGUGGGUGACCACCUGGGAACACUGCGUGCCGUU